RNAcentral lists this ribosomal RNA (309 nucleotides) under uncultured eukaryote. RNAcentral describes it as "partial 18S ribosomal RNA". It matches the Rfam family "Eukaryotic small subunit ribosomal RNA", at positions 1470 to 1796 of the family's 1831-position model. The record is from RNAcentral.
CCCUUAGAUGUUCUGGGCGGCCCGCGCACUACAAUGGCGUGUGCAGCGAGUGCCGAAGUAGAGUUUUCCGAGGUAUUCUUGCAAUGCUCGUUUUGAUGGGGAUAGACCCUUGCAACUGUUGGUUUUGAACGAGGAAUUCCUUGUAAGCAUGGUUUAUCAUCCGACGCUGAAUGCGUCCCUGCCCUUUGUACACACCGCCCGUCGCUCCUACCGAUGAGUCGUCCGGUGAAGUUCGUAGACCUCGUGAUCGCGGAUCACUGGGGGAAGCAAAAUGAACCUCGCGGUGUAGAGGAAGGAGAAGUCGUAACA